RNAcentral lists this ribosomal RNA (694 nucleotides) under uncultured bacterium. Its description in RNAcentral is "bacterial SSU rRNA". It matches the Rfam family "Bacterial small subunit ribosomal RNA", at positions 163 to 849 of the family's 1533-position model. The record is from RNAcentral.
CUAAGACCGCAUAGGUGUAGAGAUCGCAUGAACUCUAUAUGAAAAGUGCUACGGGACUGGUAGAUGAUGGACUUAUGGCGCAUUAGCUGGUUGGUAGGGUAACGGCCUACCAAGGCGACGAUGCGUAGCCGACCUGAGAGGGUGACCGGCCACACUGGGACUGAGACACGGCCCAGACUCCUACGGGAGGCAGCAGUAGGGAAUUUUCGGCAAUGGGGGAAACCCUGACCGAGCAACGCCGCGUGAAGGAAGAAGUAAUUCGUUAUGUAAACUUCUGUCAUAGAGGAAGAACGGUGGAUAUAGGGAAUGAUAUCCAAGUGACGGUACUCUAUAAGAAAGCCACGGCUAACUACGUGCCAGCAGCCGCGGUAAUACGUAGGUGGCGAGCGUUAUCCGGAAUUAUUGGGCGUAAAGAGGGAGCAGGCGGCACUAAGGGUCUGUGGUGAAAGAUCGAAGCUUAACUUCGGUAAGCCAUGGAAACCGUAGAGCUAGAGUGUGUGAGAGGAUCGUGGAAUUCCAUGUGUAGCGGUGAAAUGCGUAGAUAUAUGGAGGAACACCAGUGGCGAAGGCGACGAUCUGGCGCAUAACUGACGCUCAGUCCCGAAAGCGUGGGGAGCAAAUAGGAUUAGAUACCCUAGUAGUCCACGCCGUAAACGAAGAGUACUAAGUGUUGGGGGUCAAAGCUCAGUGCUGC